CUCCCUCAACCUGACUCUGGGGGCUUUUGCUAUAAAGCGCCCAGGCAUUGCCUGAGGGUACAGGGAAAGCACUCAUCCCUCUCCAGGGAGACUGUUUUCCUUUGGGGCCUACAAAUCGGGCUGGCAGC
Talpa occidentalis (Iberian mole) is the source of this 128-nucleotide small nucleolar RNA. RefSeq annotates it as small nucleolar RNA SNORA49. The transcript has a single exon. NCBI's taxonomy places the organism in Eukaryota, Metazoa, Chordata, Mammalia, Eulipotyphla, Talpidae. The record is from RefSeq and is a predicted model, not a curated record.